CGGAUGACGGAACUCGGCUUCGAAGGAAAGAAAUGUUCACUUUGUGUCAAGAUAAACGACCAAUCUGCAGGUAAUAAAAGAGGCGCCUUUGGUAAAGAUGAAGACAAGAAUGAAGGAAACGCAGCACGGAUGUACUUGCGGCAUAGACCGAAAUUUUACAUGUUGGAGAAUAUUUUCAGUUCUCCUGAUGUUCCUGUACACAGUAACUGAAUGUGCAGAGACAGACUGCGGACAGACGUACCUACAAAGAUCAAGCGGUAAUAUUACGAGCCCCAACUACCCCCGCAACUACCCUGACGAUGCUGCCUGCAAGUGGCACAUCUCGCUGGCCAGUACGGAGAUCAUCACCGUCAGAUUCAUCUCUUUUAACACCAUUGCGACUAAGAACUGCAAUAUUGGGGGCAAGUUGACAAUUGAUGUAGGUGACAUCGAAGUGCCUUACUGCGGUUCAACGUUACCCGAUCCUUACAUCUCAGUGCCAGGGCCCACGCAGGCCAUCAUCAAGUUCACGAGCACCACCAUGGUCUCCUCAAGCGGCUUCAUGAUCGAAUAUUUUAAAGGAGAGAGUUCGACCAGCUCUUGCCCCCGCAACCAGUUUCGCUGUGGAGUCGGCAAUUGCAUACCGCAAUGGUGGGUCUGUGAUGACAUGUAUGAAUGCAGCGACAACUCGGAUGAGGCCAACUGCAUAAACGUGCAUACGACACCAUCGCUGCAGUGUCCUUCCCACACGUUUCUCUGCCAUCAACUAUCAGACAACAUGCAAGCUUGCCUGCCAGAGUCGCUCAAGUGUGAUGGCCACCAAGACUGCGUGAAUAACGAUGACGAAACGGCCUGCCAGUCGGUCUGCAAUCAUGUCCUGAAAGGAACCAAUGGUAAUUUUGAAUCGCCCAAUUUCCCCGACGGGUAUGACCCAAAUCUGGACUGUCUCUGGCUCCUGACGGUUGAUGAGGGCGCAAUUAUCCAACUUCGCUUUUACGAGUUUGAUCUGGAGACAAAGGUCAACACAGAUUAUGUCAAGGUGUACGACGGUUUGGAGGCAACGGAUAAUUAUAUAGACACCUAUUACGGCGCCAAAGGUGUAAAAGACAACAAGGAUACCCACAUUCCACCUACGGUGAUAGAGGGCACAGGGAACACGCUAAGAGUUAGCCUGGUAACCGAUGCCAAGGUGUCUGCGAGCGGAUUUAAUGCCACCUACCAGAUUAAAGGUCGAUGCUUAGAAGGCCAAACGUCGUGCGGGCCUGGUGACAAUAACUGCUACGAUGACAAGCUGGAGCGUUGCGAUAACCACCUUACCUGCAUGAGAGGCCAAGACGAGCUUAACUGCCAUGCUUCCUGUGGCAAGGACCGCAUCUUCUGCUUCGAAACUCUUAAGGGUUGCUUCACCCAAGAGCAGCGCUGUAACGGCAAGCAGGACUGCAUUAAAGGAGAGGACGAGAAGGAUUGCGACUCCUCGCUGUGCAACUCUCGGGCUGGCCUCUUCCGCUGCGGGGACGGCAUCUGUAUAGAGGAGAGGUUCACCUGUAAUUCGGCUAGUGAUUGCAAAAAUGGGGACGAUGAAGAAAACUGCUAUCCGUCCACAAAUGUCGUCACAGCUGCUGCUGUCGGCUCCAUCGUGUGCGGCCUGCUGCUGGUGGCAGCCUUGAGCUGCACCUGUAAGCUUUACCAGCUUCAUGUCCGGGAGCGUCUCCCUCCCUCCCACAUGUCACCCCUUCGUGAGAUUGAGGAGGAGCUGUUGCGUCGUGAGGCCCCUCCAUCAUACACAGCCACCAUGGCAUCACCGCAUUUUGACGAGGCGCAGAGAGCCUUCAUUGAAGGCAUCCAGGCUGCUGUGAUUGCCCGAAAUGAGUCUAGAGGUCCUAGCAGGAGUAGCGGUAGUGGAAGGAGACAGCGCAGCACGUUUGUGCGCAUGCUGUCCAGAGAUCGCCCCAGAAGUGGCAGCGGCAGUGGUGACCAGCAGCAAAUUGAACAGGAAGACAGCACUACUCCCAGCCAGAGCGAAACACUUCCUCCCAGUCCGGAUGGUGAGCCUACAACUCCUCCUGAAGAGAUUACUGUUGGUGACAACACCCCACCACCUCUACGUCGCAUCUCAGGGGAACUUAGUUGCCCCACAGUAAGUCCCAGUCCAGCCGAAGCCAUCCCGCAGUCUAGUGGAGCGCAAGAGCGGGAGUCGGCCUCGAGCUCCGUUUCGGACACGGACUCGGAGACGAAUCAAGACGCCUUGCACUUGGCGACACGAGACCAGCAGAUCCUGCGGGCAGCUGCCAACAUCCGACGAAUGCGCCUGGCCGGUGGCCUACAGAAUGUCUUGCAAGCACAGGACCACCGAGCAGCCAGGGCUCGCAGCAGGACUGGGAGUCUAGUGGAUACAGCCUCCACUAAUUCAGAACCAGAGAACGACCCUGGCACGCCAACCUCCGAAAGAGGUCCUGAGUUGGUGGCAGAAGCGGGAUCACCCAACGAGAACACCAACAACAGGACUGACACUACAGAUGAGGGCUUGACUACAGAAGAGGGCUUGACUUCAGAAACCCCACAGGAUACCACAGAUGAGAGUCCCGAAUCUUCAGCAGCUCAAGCAAAAGACAGAUCAACUCCUACAUCCGAUAGAGCCCAGUCACCUUCAGGAGAUGCAACCCCUGAUGAUAAAAUCGACACCGAGGAGGAAGAGGCAGUAGACAAGGACUCAAAUGAAGAGAGACUUAGCCAGGCGUCAUCCAUUCUCUCCUUACAGUCCUGCAGCUCCGAGCAUACAGCUGAUGAUGUGCCUCUGUUAAACCCUGAAUAAUAUAUGCAACGUCUAUGCAAAUCAAAUAGGUUGUUUUUCUAGGGAAACUGUCUUUGGCAGGGAAUCUGAUAGAGAAGACUCCCCUUUUUCAGUGCACAAUCCUGAUUGAAUCACAAGCAAUUGGACAAUGUAUCACCUACACGUACUGAAAAGAUGGCUAAUGCUUUCAGUGUCGACAAUUUCUUACAUUGACUUCCGUUGUAUAAUUACUUACCUGCAUAUUGUAUAAAUGAUUACUCAGUUGAACAGAAUCUGUGGGCAUACGUCAUUGUAUUCAGCCAAGUUUGUAUAUUGUAUACUUAUGCAUAUUCAAAUGUUAUCAAUGAACAGUACUUAAUGAGCUGGUUUGUGAUUGGCCCAAUGUACCAACCAAUGGCUGCCAAUUUUAGUACACGAUUGAAGUGUAGCAAUGCUGGCGACUAUAUGUAUUACACACUUUUAUAAUUGCAAAGGGGGAAAUAUCACCCUCUUAAGUAAUGCGGAUAAAAAGGUACUGGUACUCAGAUUAAAAAAAAUAGUAAUCUUUUCUUAUUUUCCCUUAAAUUUAUCUCGGAUUUUUGUUAAAAACUGUGAUAUUGGUAUUAUUAAUAACAUGAGUAAACAGUGCAUCUGAUUUCUAACACGUACACAAAAUAAAAUCAACGAUUUGUAACAUUUCAAAGGCAUUUAUACCAUUCAUAUGUACAUACACCGGUGCCGUUAUAUAUCACACAAAAGUAACUAUUAUUUUACUUCUUUUUUUUCAUUUUGACACUUAAAAAUUACAAAUGUAUUAUACAUGUAGUACAAAUUAUCAAUGAAAAUAGCUGUAUUCAUUUUUUCCCCCUAGAGAAUUGGUUCCACAUGCCGAGGCUAUUAAAUAAAAAAAUUAACACACGUACUGCAACUUUCCAGAUGUUACAAACCAAUGCACAUGUUUAUGUGUGCAGUGGAACUUCGCUAUAACGAACAUCAACGGGAUCCACAGAAAUUGUAGGUAAUAGCCAGCGUUCAGUAUAGCGAUUUUAAGCUGCCGGUGCUCUGGUACUCAACUUUUCAAUAAAAAGCACCCUUCAGAACAUCACCCUGCACGCCCUGGUAGUUACUGAAAGAUGACUUUGAACAUGUGCCGACUAUUGAUGUUACCCAGUUUCUGAGCUUACUACCUAGAGCAUUCUCUCCCCUUCUAUUCCUUGGGGAAAUAAUAGCCACUUGUCGCUCAUCUGUUGAAAUUUGUCAACAACAAUGUUCAGUACAUUUUGUACACGAAAAUCGGGAGCCAAGGAUGAUGUUCAGUAUAGUCGAAUGUUCGGUAUAGCGGUGUUCGGUAUAGUGACAUUCCACUGUAUUACAGGGGUUUGAAAUCUCAGCUUUCAAGUUGAUUUGAGCUUUUUUUGUUGUUUUGGAUUUCAGCUUUUUCCCCUCACUUGCUGUGUACAGAAGUAUAGGAGAUUUCCAAAGUUCAGCUUUUUUACACCUGAAAUUUUUCAGCUGUUUUCAGCUAUUUUUUAUCAGUGGUCACUCACACCCCUUGUAAUAAAAAUUGACAUCGCGGGGAAAAUGAAAAAGUACAUGUAAUUAUGAGUUCAUCCCUUUUUGGUCUUUCCAUUUUCCUGUAGAUUCAAAGUCUAAAAAAAUGUGAAAAAAAACUGAAUGCCCAUACAUUACAUGCAUUGUUUUCAGCUUGAAAGGUUUUAGAUGUUUUAUAUCCAUCUGAAUUUGACUUCAGGUGCAAUUAGAAUUUUUUUUAAUGGUUAUUGGGUACAUGUAAAAGUGCAUUGUAAUGUGUAAAAGAUGAAUAUCAGCUGUAAAAUCAGAACUUAAAACAUUCUGUUGGGCAGACAGUGGUGUAAAUAUAUAUAAUUUUUUACUUGAAAAUGUGUUAGGCAUUGUACACAGAAAAGAAACUAUUCUAUAGAUAUCAUACUGUAUGUUUUUAUUAAUUACGUUCUAUACAAUGUAUAAGUUCCAACACUUGCAAGUAUUACCCUUUGUAAAAUAAUGCACUUAUUAUCACCGGAGACAAGAUCUAGGACAAAUCAUAUUAUCAUAAGAAUGCUGCAAGAUAAAUUUAGAGUGGAUUUAAAAAAAACCUAUUCCUACAGUGCACUUUACACAGGACAAAUACAUGUACACGUACCAGUUGGCUGUGUCAAUGUGCAUUUUUGUGUCGCCCAAACAAAGUUUUGGGAGACACCAUAGUCCCGUAUGGCCAUAGCCCCGUAUACUAGCCAUAAUAUGUUCAAGUUUACGUUCUGUUUUGGAAAAAAUAAUUUAUAACUUCUACAUGCUUUCAUGGAUUUUGACGAAACAUGGAUGCAGUGACCCUUGGGUGGAAAGACACAAUUCUUCAUCGGAUUACUGAGGUCAAAGGUCAUCUGGGGUCAUUUGAAGUCGUUGAAAAAUGUACAAAACUUGACUUUUUUUAAGAACACAAAACAUUGGAAUCGACCGCGGAAAAAGGCGACACAUGCGGUCCGCGGACCACUUGUUUUGCACGCACUCGUAUUUCAGUCAAGGUUUUGUCUAAUUACAAAACACUAUGGUUGCACACGUUCCAUCCACUGCAUGUAUUUGGUUAACAUUAAAAAAAAGGUUGCUGUAGUAUUUGAAGAAAAAAAAGAAGACAUGAAAUCCUGCCUGAAUUUGAAACCGUAAAAGAUUUUAAAAUGACGUAAAACUACUUUUUUUUUCAAAUGUAAAACUAAAAUUAAUAUUUUUAAAAAUUUAAUACACAAACGAUUUUACAAGAUAAGUUAAAGUAGCUAUUUACAGGAAAAAAACAUGGUUGAAACGAACUACGCAGAGUUAGUGGAUGUAUUAAAAUGUCAAGUUAUGUUGUAACAUCCAACAUUACAUCACAUUAUUGAGGCCACUCGCCACUGUACACAAGCUUGCUUUAGUAGCCCACAACAGCCAGCAACCCCCACUCCUAGAAACAAAGUGUGUCGACCAUCAUAAUUUCAAGUUUACUGAAGAUGCCCCCAAAAAAGCUUUAAAUGUCGGGAACCGACAAAAUUCGUUUAUUUCAGAUUUGCUGCCAUGAUAUUAAACAGCACUAGUGGUGUCACGAGGAAAAAGAUUUAUAUUAUGUGAAAAUAUAUAUAAUGCUUGUACAUUUACUUUUGAAGCGUACUUUUGUAUUAAAUAUAUAUUUGGUACAAACCAAAAUGGUGUAUAGAAUUCUGUGUGAAGAGAUUGGAAUAAAUGAAAGAUAUAGAUGCAAAAUAA
Molecule: RNA transcript, 6001 nt
Organism: Patiria miniata (bat star)
Lineage: Eukaryota; Metazoa; Echinodermata; Asteroidea; Valvatida; Asterinidae
Gene name: low-density lipoprotein receptor-related protein 12-like
Exons: 13
Source: RefSeq, a predicted model, not a curated record